This 509-nucleotide ribosomal RNA is filed under the name uncultured Cryptophyta. RNAcentral describes it as "bacterial SSU rRNA". It matches the Rfam family "Eukaryotic small subunit ribosomal RNA", at positions 451 to 966 of the family's 1831-position model. The record is from RNAcentral. Lineage: Eukaryota; Cryptophyceae.
CUGACUCAGGGAGGUAGCGACAAGAAAUAACGAUGGCGGGCUCGAUCGAGUCUGUUCAUUGGAAUGAGGAUAACUUACACCCCUUCUCGAGGAUCCAUUGGAGGGCAAGUCUGGUGCCAGCAGCCGCGGUAAUUCCAGCUCCAAUAGCGUAUACUAAAGUUGUUGCAGUUAAAAAGCUCGUAGUCGAAUUCGGACCCGACUUGCGGAAUGGCUUCCAAGCCUUUAGCGAGCCGGGUUCAAUUUUGCCGCCAGAUGGUUUGCUUAUUAGUGAACCAACAAGGCGGCAUCUUUUACUGUGAACAAAAUAGAGUGUUCAUGGCAGGCCUUUUGUAGGGCUUAGAUACCUCAGCAUGGAAUAAUAGAAUAGGACUUCCGGUUCUAUUUUGUUGGUUUUUGGAGCCGAAGUAAUGAUUAAUAGGGAUAGUUGGGGGCACUCGUACUCCGUUGUCAGAGGUGAAAUUCUUGGAUUUACGGAAGACGAACAACUGCGAAAGCAUCUGCCAAGGAUG